CAGCCGCCGCGGUAAUACGUAGGGUGCGAGCGUUAAUCGGAAUUACUGGGCGUAAAGCGUGCGCAGGCGGCUUUGCAAGACAGAUGUGAAAUCCCCGGGCUCAACCUGGGAACUGCAUUUGUGACUGCAAGGCUAGAGUACGGUAGAGGGGGAUGGAAUUCCGCGUGUAGCAGUGAAAUGCGUAGAUAUGCGGAGGAACACCAAUGGCGAAGGCAAUCCCCUGGACCUGUACUGACGCUCAUGCACGAAAGCGUGGGGAGCAAACAGGAUUAGAUACCCUGGUAGUCCACGCCCGAAACGAUGUCAACUGGUUGUUGGACGGCUUGCUGUUCAGUAACGAAGCUAACGCGUGAAGUUGACCGCCUGGGGAGUACGGCCGCAAGGUUGAAACUUAAAGGAAUUGGCGGG
RNAcentral lists this ribosomal RNA (408 nucleotides) under uncultured microorganism. Its description in RNAcentral is "bacterial SSU rRNA". It matches the Rfam family "Bacterial small subunit ribosomal RNA", at positions 509 to 917 of the family's 1533-position model. The record is from RNAcentral.